This 254-nucleotide ribosomal RNA is filed under the name soil bacterium 10V-09. RNAcentral's name for it is "partial 16S ribosomal RNA". It matches the Rfam family "Bacterial small subunit ribosomal RNA", at positions 213 to 479 of the family's 1533-position model. The record is from RNAcentral.
UUGUGGUUUUGGAUGGACUCGCGGCCUAUCAGCUUGUUGGUGAGGUAAUGGCUCACCAAGGCGACGACGGGUAGCCGGCCUGAGAGGGUGACCGGCCACACUGGGACUGAGACACGGCCCAGACUCCUACGGGAGGCAGCAGUGGGGAAUAUUGCACAAUGGGCGCAAGCCUGAUGCAGCGACGCCGCGUGAGGGANGACGGCCUUCGGGUUGUAAACCUCUUUCAGUAGGGAAGAAGCGAAAGUGACGGUACC